UACGGAGGUGGCAGGCGUUACUCGGAUUGAUUGGGUGUAAAGGGUGUGUAGGUGGUGAAUUAAGUCGAAUGUGAAAGCCCUUGGCUUAACCAAGGAAAUGCAUUCGAAACUGAUUUGCUUGAGCAAUGGAGAGGUAGGCGGAAUUCCCGGUGUAACAGUGAAAUGUGUAGAUAUCGGGAGGAACACCAGUGGCGAAGGCGGCUUACUGGCCAUCUGCUGACACUGAAACACGAGAGCUAGGGGAGCAAACAGG
Molecule: ribosomal RNA, 253 nt
Filed under: uncultured bacterium
Lineage: Bacteria
Description: partial 16S ribosomal RNA
Rfam family: Bacterial small subunit ribosomal RNA
Source: RNAcentral